RNAcentral lists this ribosomal RNA (465 nucleotides) under uncultured bacterium. RNAcentral's name for it is "partial 16S ribosomal RNA". It matches the Rfam family "Bacterial small subunit ribosomal RNA", at positions 338 to 795 of the family's 1533-position model. The record is from RNAcentral.
CCUACGGGUGGCAGCAGUGGGGAAUAUUGCGCAAUGGGCGAAAGCCUGACGCAGCGACGCCGCGUGAGGGAUGAAGGUCUUCGGAUCGUAAACCUCUGUCAGCAGGGAAGAACGGUCACUGUGCUAAUCAGCAGUGAAUUGACGGUACCUGCAAAGGAAGCACCGGCUAACUCCGUGCCAGCAGCCGCGGUAAUACGGAGGGUGCGAGCGUUGAUCGGACUUACUGGGCGUAAAGCGCUCGUAGGCGGUAUGUCCAGUCAAGGGUGAAAUCCCCGCGCUCAACGUGGGAACUGCCUUUGAAACUGGCAAACUGGAGUGUGUGAGAGGAUAGUGGAAUGCCAGGGGGAGGAGUGAAAGCCGUAGAUAUCUGGAGGAACAUCAGUGGCGAAGGCGACUAUCUGGCACAUAACUGACGCUGAGGAGCGAAAGCGUGGGUAGCAAACAGGAUUAGAUACCCGAGUAGUC